This is a long non-coding RNA of Sarcophilus harrisii (Tasmanian devil), 1890 nucleotides long. The record is from Ensembl. Lineage: Eukaryota; Metazoa; Chordata; Mammalia; Dasyuromorphia; Dasyuridae.
UCCUAGGUACAAUAUAUAUGUGCAGAAGCAAACAGUUCUCUUGUUGCACAGGAAGAAUUGGAUUCAGAAGGUAAAAAUAACCCGGGAAGAAAAACAAAAAUGCAAACAGUUUACAUUCAUUUUCCAGUGUUCUUUCUUUGGGUGUAGCUGCUUCUGUCCAUUGUUGAUCAAUUGAAACUGAGUUAGAUUUUCUCUUUGUCGAAGAAAUCCACUUCCAUCACAAUACAUCCUCAUACAUUAUUGUUGUUGAAGUAUAUAAUGAUCUCCUGGUUCUGCUCAUUUUACUUAGCAUCAGUUCAUGUAAAUCUCUCCAAGCUUCUCUGUAUUCAUCCUGCUGGUCAUUUCUUACAGAACAAUAAUAUUCCAUAACAUUCAUGUACCACAAUUUACCCAACCAUUCUCCAAUUGAUGGACAUCCAUUCAUUUUCCAGUUUCUAGCCACUACAAACAGGGCUGCCACAAACAUUUUGGCACAUACAGGUACCUUUCCCUUCUUUAGUAUCUCUUUGGGAUAUAAGCCCAGUAGUAGCACUGCUGGAUCAAAGGGUAUGCACAGUUUGAUAACUUUUUAAGCAUAGUUCCAAACUACUCUCCAGAAUGGUUGGAUUCGUUCACAACUCCACCAACAAUGCAUCAGUGUCCCAGUUUUCCCACAUCCCCUCCAACAUUCAUCAUUAUUUUUUUGUGUCAUCUUAGCUAAUCUGAUAGGUGUAUAGUGGUAUCUCAGUGUUGUCUUAAUUUGCAUUUCUCUGAUUAAUAAUGACUUGGAGCAUCUUUUCAUAUGACUAGAAAUAGUUUCAAUUUCAUCAUCUGAAAAUUGUCUGUUCAUAUCCUUUGACCAUUUGUCAAUUGGAGAAUAGCUUAAUUUCUUAUAAAUUAGAGUCAAUUCUCUAUAUAUUUUGGAAAUGAGGCCUUUAUCAGAACCUUUAACUGUGAAAACGUUUUCCCAGUUUGUUGCUUCCCUUCUAAUCUUGUUUGAAUUAGUUUUGUUUGUACAAAGGCUUUUUAAUUUGAUGUAAUCAAAAUUUUCUAUUUUGUGAUCAGUAAUGGUCUCUAGUUCAUCUUUGGUCACAAAUUUCUUCCUCCUCCACAAGUCUGAGAGAUAAACUAUCCUAUGUUCCUCUAAUUUAUUUAUAAUCUUGUUCUUUAUGCCUAAAUCAUGGACCCAUUUUGAUCUUAUCUUAGUAUAUGGGGUUAAGUGUGGGUCCAUGCCCAUGGACACUAAUUUCUGUCACACUAAUUUCCAGUUAUCCCAGCAGUUUUUGUCAAAUAAUGAAUUCUUAUCCCAAAAGUUAGGAUCUUUGCAUUUGGCAUACACUAGAUUGUUUUAGUUGACUAUUUUGUCUUGUGAACCUAAACUAUUCCACUGAUCAACUAAUCUAUUUCUUAGUCAAUACCAAAUGGUUUUAGUGACUGCUGCUUUAUAAUAUAGUUUUAGAUCAGGUACAGCUAGUGUGCAUAACCUUUCAUCCAGCAGUGUCUCACUGAGCCUAUAUCCCAAAGAGAUCAUAAAGGAGGAAAAGGGACCCACAUGUGCAAAAAUGUUUGUGACAGCCCUUUUUGUAGUGGCAAGAAACUGGAAAUUAAGUGGAUGCCCAUCAACUGGAGAAUUACUGAAUAAGUUAAGGCAUAUGAAUGUUAUGCAGUAGUAUUGUUCUAUAAGAAAUGAUCAGCAGGAUGAUUUCAGAGAGGCCUAGAAAGACUUUCAUGAACUAAGUGAAAUGAGCAGAAUCAGGAGAUCAUUGUACAUGGCAACAAGAUUAUGCAAUGAUCAAUUCUGAUGGUCAUGGCUCUUUUCAAUAAUGAAUAAUUGUUCUCUAGGACAUCCAGUUUGAAAGGUUCAAUAGGCAAAUAUUGAUUCAAGACUGAAACUCAGGGAAGAGACUAGGG